RNAcentral lists this long non-coding RNA (1432 nucleotides) under Salvia miltiorrhiza (redroot sage). Its description in RNAcentral is "long non-coding RNA (SMIL_LNC011854)". Lineage: Eukaryota; Viridiplantae; Streptophyta; Magnoliopsida; Lamiales; Lamiaceae. The record is from RNAcentral.
GCCAUUAAACCAAAUUUAAUGUAUCAGUGUGCUAAAUUAUUAUAAUUAUUGAGUAUUAAAUUAUUUAUAUUUAUUAUGUAGGAAGAGAUAGGUUACCCACCUCUUGAUUUUCUUUUCUUCUCAUCCUCUCACUGCUUAUCCAUUUUCUUUCAUUCAUUCAUAUCUUCUGAUAAAGAAGACAAACUGGGAAAAAAGGGAAAUCUAAAAUUAGUAAAAAGAGGCAAAAUAAAAACAAUAAUUAUGGAAAAAAGAAAUCGAUGAAACUGAAAAAUAGUCUUUAUUUGAGGUCUUUCAAUGCUCCAUGUCACAUGAUUCAUCAUAUAUUCCAUUUAAAAAGAUACCAAUUUGCACCAAAGUAAUUAGAUAAGGAUGAAAAGCAACUGUACAAAUUUUAUAUAAUAAAAAGAGUCACCUUUUCAUAAAAUAUAUGUAUCCAAAAGAUCAACUAUCCGUUUUUUUAUUAACUAUAAUAAACAUUAUAUUCUAUUUGUCCAAACUCCAUAAAAAUAUAUACUAAAAGAAUUUGAGAAGCAAAAUUUAAAAUUUAAUGAAAUUUUGGACCACUAUAUAUGUACUAGUUCGUGUAAGUAAGUCCCUAUGCAGCAGAGCUUUAAAGUAGUUAGCUACCACAAGUACAAAAAAUAAAGCUAUUAUUUUGAAACAUUUCAAUUAAAUUCACACGCGAUGAGGUUUAUCUAGAUAGCACGUGCGAAUUGCUAAAUCUAUGAAACGUCGGAAAUUAAAAACAAUAUCAUUCUAAAGCAUACCUCGAUAGUAAUUAUAUGAAUCUUCUUCAAAUUAGAGACAAAUAUAAUUAUUCAGAACACACCCUAAAAUAAUAUUUUUGAAGGAAGAAAAGAAAACUACGAAACGUUGAGAAUUUUAAAUCACUUCAUCAAAAUCGCAUAGGGCGAUGACAUCCAUCUAAAAUAUAUCUCAACAGUAAUUAUGAAUUUCAUCGAAUUAAAGACAACAUAAUUUAUUCAGAACACACUCUAAAACAAAGGAAGGUCGAAAUUUUGGAGGAAGAAAUAUGAAUUUGAAUAAAUAAUUUGGCAUACUCUACUAUAUUAAUGUUAAUCAUGUGAUAAAAAUAUGACUCGUACAAUAUUGAAGAGAAAUUUCAGAGAAGAAUAAUCCCAACUAAUAUACCAAUUAACACCACCUCUCUCUCUCUCUCUCAUCAAAAUUAAUUUCUACUAUAUUUCAUGAAUUAAUCUUAAUUCUUACACAUCCAAAAAAAAAACACUAAAUUUAUCCCAGAUCAAAUAUUUGUGCCACGUACCUUUACCAAAAAAAAAAAAAAAACCAAAAAAUUUGUGCCACGUCAUUUCAUCUCCAAACUCCUAUAAUCUAAAACUCCACCUUUCAAGCCCAGAAAAUCAUACCCAGAAUUAUAACUGCUGCUGCCAUUAAUAUUAAUAUUAUUAUG